GAUGAACGCUGGCGGCGUGCUUAACACAUGCAAGUCGAACGGGAAUUACUUUAUUGAAACUUCGGUCGAUUUAAUUUAAUUCUAGUGGCGGACGGGUGAGUAACGCGUGGGUAACCUGCCUUAUACAGGGGGAUAACAGUCAGAAAUGGCUGCUAAUACCGCAUAAGCGCACAGAGCUGCAUGGCUCGGUGUGAAAAACUCCGGUGGUAUAAGAUGGACCCGCGUUGGAUUAGCUUGUUGGUGGGGUAACGGCCCACCAAGGCGACGAUCCAUAGCCGGCCUGAGAGGGUGAACGGCCACAUUGGGACUGAGACACGGCCCAGACUCCUACGGGAGGCAGCAGUGGGGAAUAUUGCACAAUGGGGGAAACCCUGAUGCAGCGACGCCGCGUGAAGGAAGAAGUAUCUCGGUAUGUAAACUUCUAUCAGCAGGGAAGAUAGUGACG
Molecule: ribosomal RNA, 445 nt
Filed under: uncultured bacterium
Lineage: Bacteria
Description: bacterial SSU rRNA
Rfam family: Bacterial small subunit ribosomal RNA
Source: RNAcentral